This 1465-nucleotide long non-coding RNA is filed under the name Capsicum annuum. RNAcentral's name for it is "long non-coding RNA (CANN_LNC012811)". The record is from RNAcentral. Lineage: Eukaryota; Viridiplantae; Streptophyta; Magnoliopsida; Solanales; Solanaceae.
UCUUUAUGUGUUGUAACUCUUGUAACAUAUAUAACUUACAUGCUAUUUUUUUUUUGGUAGUAAAAAACAUUCAUAAACUAGUAAAACAAGCAUAUUUUACAAGCCAUAGUUCAGUCAGGCCCCAAAAUGAAACAAGCAGGGAUAUGCCCGUUAGGAAAAGGUUUAACAUUCCUAAUGUAAGUAUUUCCUAAAAUAUUUCAUGACAUACACAGGAGGAACUGCAAAAAUCUUCAUGCUCCCAAAAGCUUUUCCUAUUGGUCCUUCCUUAGCAAGAGCAUCCACUACCGAAUUUUGUUUCCUGCAGCAAUGCAUCACCACUGGUCUCUCUAUUCUUCUCAGCACAGACCUGCGGGCAUUAAUGAUAGGGUUAUUAUGCAUAUUACCAUUUUAAGCCUAUUAAUUACCGCUUUAGAGUCUUGAUCUCCAGUGGAUAUGGAUGAUGUUGUUCCAGUAGGUUCAGACCUUCCAGGAGUGAAAUUAGUUCCAUCUGAUUGUUACUAGCAACAGGAAAGCCUUUACAGAAACCCAAAACCCAAUUCCCAUUAUUGUUCCUUAUUACUCUACCAAUGCCUCCAAUUCCUGGGUUCCCAAAAGAGUAGCCGUCAGUGUUGAGUUUGUAGAAAUCAAUUAGAGGCGGCUUCCACCUAAUAGAGAUAGGAGUAGUGGCUAAACCUCCAGGAUGGUGCAAGUUGUUGAGAUAAGUGAACUCGACUGCCUCCCCAUAAGAUUCUUCACAAAAAGAAAUGGUAUUAGUACUAUAGAAGAUGCCACUAUUUAUGUGCUUCCAUAUAUGCCAUAAACAGAAAACAAAGAGGACUUCAAGGCUAAUGAGGUGGUUCAAAGGCUUGUUCUUCUACCAACGCCAUAUAGUGCCCCAUCUGUCAUCUCCCAAAGGGUUUAUACUGGCGGGUAAGGGGAGGGUAUAUUUGCUGGAAAGGCUAUUCCAGAGCUAGAAAGCCCUAUGGCAUACCCAGAAGAUAUGCACAAUAUCUUCCAUGGGAUGGCUGCAAUAUGCAUAGCUAGUGUUUAUAGUUAGGCCCAACCUGUUUAGAGCACUGUUAUAGAGGAGUCUUUGGUGAAGAAAAAGUUUAAGAAAGAACCUGAUUUUGGGAUGGAUUUUAAGAUGCUAGAGCCAAUUUAAGUGGAUUCUAACAUUCAGAUCAUGGGGACUGUUGUGCUGGGAAUUAUAGAUAAACUUAUUAGCACUACUACAGCUGAAGAGACCAUUACCAGUGAGUUUCCAAAUGGUGUGGUCAUCGGUGCAUCUCACAGUUGGGAAAAGUAUUCUGGAUGGAGUGGAUAAUAUCAAGGUUUACUAGAUAGAAAAAAUACUCCACUUAUAUAAAGAGUGUUUUCUUCUUAGUGUUUUGAGAAAUGAGUUGUAGUAUAUUGUGAGAUAUGAAGAAAAAAGAUAAGUGUGGAAAUAUUGUAAUGUGUAGUAGUGAAAGAGAGAUUUGAAACAAAG